Molecule: ribosomal RNA, 446 nt
Filed under: uncultured Streptomyces sp.
Lineage: Bacteria; Bacillati; Actinomycetota; Actinomycetes; Kitasatosporales; Streptomycetaceae
Description: bacterial SSU rRNA
Rfam family: Bacterial small subunit ribosomal RNA
Source: RNAcentral
ACUCCUACGGGAGGCAGCAGUGGGGAAUAUUGCACAAUGGGCGAAAGCCUGAUGCAGCGACGCCGCGUGAGGGAUGACGGCCUUCGGGUUGUAAACCUCUUUCAGCAGGGAAGAAGCGAAAGUGACGGUACCUGCAGAAGAAGCGCCGGCUAACUACGUGCCAGCAGCCGCGGUAAUACGUAGGGCGCAAGCGUUGUCCGGAAUUAUUGGGCGUAAAGAGCUCGUAGGCGGCUUGUCACGUCGAUUGUGAAAGCCCGAGGCUUAACCUCGGGUCUGCGGUCGAUACGGGCUAGCUAGAGUGUGGUAGGGGAGAUCGGAAUUCCUGGUGUAGCGGUGAAAUGCGCAGAUAUCAGGAGGAACACCGGUGGCGAAGGCGGAUCUCUGGGCCAUUACUGACGCUGAGGAGCGAAAGCGUGGGGAGCGAACAGGAUUAGAUACCCUGGUAG